This is a long non-coding RNA of Mesocricetus auratus (golden hamster), 429 nucleotides long. RefSeq lists it as uncharacterized. The transcript is spliced from 2 exons. Lineage: Eukaryota; Metazoa; Chordata; Mammalia; Rodentia; Cricetidae. The record is from RefSeq and is a predicted model, not a curated record.
UUGAGCUGAUCAAAAUCAUCACCCCUAAUGCUAGCCUUCUGGAUGAGACAAACUUACCUCUUCGCGCAAGGGCAGUUAACUGAAAACGAAUGGCAACUAUUCCUCUAAAGGGGCUAGGCCUUCUUCCUCUCAACAAUGAGAUACCUAUCUGAAUGCAGGAGUGCUUUCAGAGCAGCUUCCAAUAACCACGAAAAUGCAAACUGAACAGGAGUCUUGACUGAAGGAUCUGGAAUCAGACAGCCUGGGACCAUUGCUACUUAUAGCCACGGUUUUCCCCCUAAUUAUGAAUCUUAGUUUUUUUUUAAUGUGUGUUCUCUCCCCCAAUAAUUCUUUUCUUGAUCUUCUUAAUCAGUUCCUUUGUAUUGUCCCAAUUUUAUCUUACAUCCAAUCUCCUCAAAGAGCCCUAAAUAUACUCUAAUGUUAUUUUCC